This 236-nucleotide unclassified non-coding RNA is filed under the name uncultured fungus. RNAcentral's name for it is "sequence contains ITS1". The record is from RNAcentral. Lineage: Eukaryota; Fungi.
GUAUUUGUUUAAGGCCUUGCGGCACUAAUUCACGUUCGAUGUUUUACAAAAGGGGGUUUGUUAUAAAAAAGGAGAGAGGGAAAACCCAGAAUAAACCGGAUAACCAAACUCCCAGAGGGUGCACAGGUGUAUGAAUUAAGAUAUUGUCGGGAGCAAGCACAUGUAGAGAAAACUCUACCAGCAUCAACUCCCUUUACAAUUCGUUAAUGAUCCUUCCGCAGGUUCACCUACGGAAA